AGUGAACGCUGGCGGUAGGCCUAACACAUGCAAGUCGAACGGCAGCACAGGAGAGCUUGCUCUCUGGGUGGCGAGUGGCGGACGGGUGAGGAAUACAUCGGAAUCUACUCUGUCGUGGGGGAUAACGUAGGGAAACUUACGCUAAUACCGCAUACGACCUACGGGUGAAAGCAGGGGAUCUUCGGACCUUGCGCGAUUGAAUGAGCCGAUGUCGGAUUAGCUAGCUGGCGGGGUAAAGGCCCACCAAGGCGACGAUCCGUAGCUGGUCUGAGAGGAGGAUCAGCCACACUGGAACUGGGACACGGUCCAGACUCCUACGGGAGGCAGCAGUGGGGAAUAUUGGACAAUGGGCGCAAGCCUGAUCCAGCCAUACCGCGUGGGUGAAGAAGGCCUUCGGGUUGUAAAGCCCUUUUGUUGGGAAAGAAAUCCAGCUGGCUAAUACCCGGUUGGGAUGACGGUACCCAAAGAAUAAGCACCGGCUAACUUCGUGCCAGCAGCCGCCGCGG
This 506-nucleotide ribosomal RNA is filed under the name uncultured bacterium. RNAcentral describes it as "partial 16S ribosomal RNA". It matches the Rfam family "Bacterial small subunit ribosomal RNA", at positions 29 to 523 of the family's 1533-position model. The record is from RNAcentral.